ACGGCGAGUGAAGCGGCAAAAGCUCAAAUUUUAAAGCUGGCAUCUUCGGUGCCCGCGUUGUAAUUUUGUGAGGCAUCUCCGGGUAGGGCGCCGGCCUAAGUUCCUUGGAACAGGACGUCACAGAGGGUGAGAAUCCCGUGCUUGGCUGGCUGUCCCCGCCCACGUGAGGUGUCUUCGACGAGUCGAGUUGUUUGGGAAUGCAGCUCAAAAUGGGUGGUAAAUUUCAUCUAAAGCUAAAUAUUGGUGGGAGACCGAUAGCGCACAAGUAGAGUGAUCGAAAGAUGAAAAGCACUUUGAAAAUAGAGUUAAAAAGUACGUGAAAUUGUUGAAAGGGAAGCGCUUGAGACCAGACUUCGGUAGGGGGUGAUCAGCCGUCCUUCUGGGCGGUGCACUUGCCCCCCUCCGGGCCAGCAUCGGUUGAGGCGGCGGGAUAAAGGUCCCGGGAAUGUGGCUCCCUCACGGGAGUGUUAUAGCCCGGGUGAACGCCGCCAGCCUCGACCGAGGACCGCGCCCGCAAGGGCUAGGAUGCUUG
This 532-nucleotide ribosomal RNA is filed under the name Morchella tridentina. RNAcentral describes it as "partial 28S ribosomal RNA". It matches the Rfam family "Eukaryotic large subunit ribosomal RNA", at positions 86 to 629 of the family's 3401-position model. Lineage: Eukaryota; Fungi; Ascomycota; Pezizomycetes; Pezizales; Morchellaceae. The record is from RNAcentral.